This 30-nucleotide ribosomal RNA is filed under the name Rotylenchulus reniformis. RNAcentral describes it as "partial 5.8S ribosomal RNA". The record is from RNAcentral. Lineage: Eukaryota; Metazoa; Nematoda; Chromadorea; Rhabditida; Hoplolaimidae.
UUAUUUUAAUGGGUGGUACCACUGGGUUGG